RNAcentral lists this ribosomal RNA (201 nucleotides) under uncultured bacterium. Its description in RNAcentral is "partial 16S ribosomal RNA". It matches the Rfam family "Bacterial small subunit ribosomal RNA", at positions 1300 to 1500 of the family's 1533-position model. The record is from RNAcentral.
GCAGGCUGAAAUUACGCCUGCAUGAAGCCGGAAUUGCUAGUAAUGGCAGGUCAGCAUACUGCCGUGAAUACGUUCCCGGGCCUUGUACACACCGCCCGUCACACCAUGAGAGUUGGGGAUACCCGAAGCCUGUGAGCCAACUUUUAGAGGCAGCAGUCGAAGGUAGAAUCAAUGAUUGGGGUGAAGUCGUAACAAGGUAUC